Heterocephalus glaber (naked mole-rat) is the source of this 8923-nucleotide long non-coding RNA. RefSeq lists it as uncharacterized. NCBI's taxonomy places the organism in Eukaryota, Metazoa, Chordata, Mammalia, Rodentia, Bathyergidae. The record is from RefSeq and is a predicted model, not a curated record.
CAUUGCUUGCAAAGGUUCUUUUCUCACUCGCCGGCCCAAGACCUCUCCCCUUCCUAUCCUGCAUCCACUGCAGCUGGUCUGCGGCAGACAGGGUCUUAAGAAGUCACUGAGCUGCCUAGACUGGGCUAGACUUGGGGAUCCUCCUGCCUCAGCCUCCUUUGGUGCUGAGCCUGCAGGCGUUGUCCUGGCAGUGCAGCCCCAACCCUAAUGCAGGGCCUGACUCAGUGCCAGUGCCUCGUGUGGGACCGGCUCCCCAGAGGGCACUGUGGGGCUGUCACCACUUCAGCAUCCCAUACCCGUAUUCUGGAGAAGCAGCCCUGGGUCCUCAGGAAAGAAGGUGUGAAUCAAAUAAUCACACUCACCAGGUGAUAAACUUUGGUACGUGCCAUGCAGGGGACAGACAAGGACCUUGGUGCAUUCUGAGAGUGAGGGAGGCUGAGAUAGGAAGGAUGAACCACAACUCGAAAGGUGGGAACAGGAGAGGAGUCAGUGUACCAGGUGGGGACGGUAGGUGCAAAGGUCCUGGGGUAGGAAGAUCUGGCAGAUCCAGCUCAAAGAGGAGCCCAGGGAUGGGGUGGUCAUAUGCAGAGUGGAAGGGGGAGAGAUGCGAGGGCUGGGUGGAAGAGGGCAGGGCCAAGCCAGUGGCACCUGGUGGAGCAGGCCUAUUGCCAUGGGCAAGGAUGUUUGGGCACACAGUGGGGCUGCUCAGGGCAGGGAGACGGCAAGACUGCACUUGUGCAUGGCCGCGGGGGGAUCACUGGGCAGCGCUGGGCCCAGGGAGGAGCCGCAGCCGGGAUCCUGUGCCCGGGGAGCCAGAGGGAUACUCAGGGCAGGGAAGCCGUGCCCAGCCUCUGUCACCAGCACCUCGGGCCCUGAGCACCAGGGGAAGCCGCCUGAGGGCCGGUGGGUGUCCUGGACAGAGCGGGCAGGCCAGGGGCCGUCCCUCUGUGCCCAGGGGGAGACGCGCUCACUGAGGGAGCCUGGACCGACUGUGGAGAGGCUGAGCCAGCUUCUCCCUGCUUGACCCGCCCGGCCGGCCCUGGCCCACGCGCCCUCACUAGGUCCUUGGCGUCCUUGGUGGUGUAGCCCUUCGCCCUGCUCCUGCUGCUGACCAUCAGGUGACCCGAGGGUGGCCCGGAGGAGGGGCUGGACCUUGGGACCAGAGAGGGGAGGAACUGUGACGCAGGCACCCAAACACCAGGUGCCUGCACGGGGGCCCCACGCGCCUCGGCUGGAGGGUCAGGCCAGGUCCUCUCGGGCCUCCACCUCCGGACGCGCCCAGCCGCUCCAGCCUGUGGGGCUCUGCCUGGGGUGGCAGCACUGUUCUCAGGUCCCUGCCCCAGGGGUCACAGGGCGUCGGAAGGGGCUGCGGGGCCCCACACCCAGCACCUGCCUCCCUCGCCCAGCCCCGUGGCCCACCUUCCAGAGAAAGGCUUGCUGCCUCUGGGGAGGGGGCUUGGCAGUGUCUCUCCUUCUCCUUUUCCCAUUUGUUUCCAGGGACCAAAGCUAGCUCUUCCUUGCAGUGGGAACAUACGAGAGGGAGUGCAUUUUCCACGGCGACUCCCAGGCUCCACCCUGUGGUCACAAAGUUUUAGAGUAAACGCCGAGGAGGAUCCGACUCCAUCCAGAUGGCGGGGCUGAGCUACACAUCCGGCCCCUGGGAGGCUGGAGUGCCCCCCAGCAAGGACGGCCACUCUGAGGCCCGAGUCCCCAUCUGCUGCGCUCUGUCCUGAGAACUUGGGCUCUGGGUGGGGCCUCAGGGUCCCUGAGUGAGUGGCCCCAGGGAGCAGAGCCUGGGGCUUGUCCAUCCUUACACAUGCGGGGACACGAGAGGAAGUGUGACUCUGUCUUCCACGGCAGAACAUGUUAACUUCAGCCGUGUAUUCAAGGCAUCCUGGCCGUUCCCUGUGGCUGCUUCCUGAGGCAGGGACUUCGGCUCACAGUUCUGGGGCUGAAUGUCCGGUCCUGCCCUGCAGAGCAGGCAAAGGGGCGCUGUGUCCAGAAGGAGCCGGACCCUGGGCCCGGGCUGGACGCAACAGUCCCGUGGCUGACCAGGUGCCCAGGAACAGCAUCAGGCCCUCCCUCGGGGGGCGCAGGUGCCUGGCCAGUCCCUCGAGGGGACCUGCUAAGGCUCUUCCACCCCACACACCACCCAGGACCAAGCAUCCAGCGCCCGGACCGCUGGUCACAUGAGAGCCACGUCCAAGCUGUAGCGGAGACCACGGGCCUAGCUUUCUGUCCGCACCGGUGUAAGACUGAGGCAUCUGUGAGAACAGACAAAACACUGUGCAGAGAUAGCAUCACUGCUGCUUCCACCGGGCAGUGGCCCAGGCCAGCAGGGCCGCUGGCGGGUGUGGGUGGCAGGGUCAGCCUGUUCCUGGGCACCCGUUGAAGGCCAUGCGCUGGGCAACAUCGGACAGAGUCUGGCAGGUCAGAGUCUGCAGAGCAGCCCAGUGCUGGUCUGGUCGCUGCAGCUGUGAGUGAUGGGAUCCAAGGACCGGCUGCAGAGAGGGCCCCUGGGCCCGGACAAGGCACUGGGGACACCGGGUGCCGGCCGCACGCGGCUGCGGCUCUGCCCACCGUUGCCACGGCCAGGCUCCAGGGCUGCUGCUCUGGCUGUCUCCGGGAAUCCGACCGUGCCAUCCCGGUCUGAGCAGGGAGCUUCACAUCCCUCCCGCUACGCUCUGACCUGAUGCAGACGCAUUGCCAUGGGGCAGCCAGGCCCGGCAGCACAGUUCACCCCGAUUCCCAGUCAGUGUGCAGCCCUGCUCUUGACAAACGGCAGCCGCCCCUUGUGUGUUUUGGGUGUGGUCUCCCUGUACUGGACUCUCCUGGAGAAAGCCCCACUGUGCCUUUUCCCUUCCACGGCCUCUCACUACCUCACGACCCUAAAGACCCUGCAGCCUGUGUGGGAGCUGCUGGCCCAGUGCCUAGUGCCGGAGCGGCCCUCUCGGGUUUGCCCUGUCGAGCUCGUACCCCGGCUUCUUUUCCUAACAAGAGCCACCCUCAGCUGAGGCCCCGGGCAGGGCUCUGGCUGGAUGCUGGCCGGGGCCAGGGUGUGAGGGCCUGGCCGCCUCCCAGGUGUGUGGAAACCUGUCCUCCCCACCCCUGGUGCCCCGGCACUGGGUCCCCAGUGGCCCAUGCCACCUCUCCCCACUGCCUGCUCAGAGCCGGGGGCUCAGCCUGCCUUGUCCUGGACACAGCUCCUGCCCCCAGACCCAUGCCCCUGAGCCUCUCAGAGCUGGAGCCCCUCCCGAGGACCUGGGACAGCAGGAUGCAGGCUCUGGCUCUGGUGGAUGAACCCGCUUGUCCUCAGGCCUCUGGGGAGCCAGUGAGGGGCCAGGCAGGUCUCUGCCCUGAGUCCCCUCCCCCGCAGCAUCACUGCUGACCAUGCAACUCACUGCCCCCCGAGUGCGGCCGUGCCCCUUGGGGAUGCAGGCCACACCCGGUCUCCACCCAGGAGCUCCAGGCUGGAAUCGAGGAGGUGGACAGGGAUCCAGGAGAGCUGCCUGGAGCAGCAUCUAUUCCUCCUUCCAUUUCUGCCCUCUCCCUCCUCCUUCCUGAGACAGUGAAGCAGGCGAGAACGCACUUGGACCUCGCUGGGAAGGCUUGGCGUGGAGCCCUGGCAGGAGGACAGGGGACUGGAGCCAUCCUCACGAGUUUGAGGCGGCUUCUCGGGAAGGAGUGUUGGUCCUGGCUCUUCCAUGCCAGUGUUGGAGGAGGGAGGUGGGGGUGCUGUGCAGGGCCUGGCAGGGCUCGGGGAUGCGUGGUGGCACCUGGAGCCCGGGGACCAGGCCCGGAGGCUCUGACUCCCUCUCAGCUUCGGUGUGGCCUCGGCCCCUGUUCCUGCGAGCACAGCUAGGGUGGCAGCAGCACUCAGCCAGGCCACCAGCAGGCGAGGGCAGGUGGGGCACCAGGCUUCGACUUGAGAGAUGCCACGCAGAAAGAGCAAGGUCGCCUUGAGCCGAUGCCUUGGAGUCCCCGUGGUUCCUGGGGUGGCGACAGAACACUCUGCUGGCGCUUAAUGCAGGAAGGAGACUGGUGCGGCGCCACGCAGGGCUCACGGCUCUGCUGAGGCCUCAAGGUGCGGGAAGGGGAGGCCCAGAUGUGGCGGCCACGGGGUCCAGCGGGGUCGCGUCACGCUUCACGGCCACCUGCUCGGGGAGCAGACCUCCUGGGAGCAGCACGUGGCCCUUCCCAGCAGCCUGCAAGCCCUAACCUGGGCCCCUGCUCCAGGCCCAACCACCCACACCCGGGAGCAGGGCUCUGGGGACACAGUCACUCCACACGCAGCACAGCGCCAGGCCUACGGGCACAGGGAGGCGGGGCAGGGCUGGAACCUGCACGCUGCGACCCUUGCUCUCUCAACGAGGGCUAUGCCAGGCUCAGAGGCCGCCAAGCACCAGCCUCAUCUGUCCAGGAACCAGGCCACUGCUGCAUCCCCAGGGGACAUGUCCUGCUAGGCUCUGGGUCUCAUGGUGACCCCCAGGUGGGGCAGGCGCCACACAGGGGGACGUAGGUCCCCAGGAGGGACCAGCAGAGUGGGUGGGUGGCAGGGAUGUGCUGAGUCCACAGGCGCAUUUGGCUGGCAGAGGCCUGGACUGGAACUCGCCAGGUGGGGAUGGCAACCCCAUGUCCUGGGAAGGAAGUGGAAGCUGAGGGGCCAAAGGAAUCUUAGCCCUGUGGAGCCAGGAGGGCAGGGGCUGAGGGAAAGUCCUGCAGGAAGGACGGCUGCACUGAGGCCUGGUGGGGUGACAGCCUAGCCCAGAGCAGCAGAGCAAGGGAGAGAGGUUAUCAGUGCUGCAGCUGGGUUUGGGCACAGUUGGGUGCGGGUUUGAUGGCACCCAAGGAUCUGGCUCUGCCUCUGGCUCUGCUCUGCUCUUCCCUCAGUCUGGUGCCCAGGGCUGAGAUGAUUUCAGAGCUUCUCACAUCCCAACAGAUGGGCGGGUCCUGGGAGGAAGCACCAGGAGGCUGGGAUCACCCAACUGUCAGCCCAGGGUGAGGGCCGGGACAGGCCAGGCCCGGAGGACCUGGGGGAUCAUGGGAGGGCCCACGAGGCAGGACCCUGGGGCAGCAGACCAGCUCAGCCUGCGCCUUUCUGACUCCGAUCCCCCAGCAGCAGCCAGCGGGGUGUUUGAUAUUCAAAUUAAAGCAGAGCCAUUUGGGAGACUUGUCCCACAGAAGCCUGUAAUUGGAGCCUGUGGGAACAUUUACACUGAUGGAGAAUUAAUGAAGGCUUUGUUGCUGCUCUUCCGGGAGAAAUCUUGGGAAUUUCACCCAGCAUGUGGCCUGGGAGCCCCUCCCAGCCUUCAGGCUCAGAGGGGACGGAGAGGAAGCCCUGGCCUGGCUGGCCUGGUGGUCAGGUCCUUGCCAGCCUGGCUGGGGGACUCUGGGUGGACCCGGGUGAGGGGGUCAGGGAGGUCGGUGGGAGGUGGGGUGGAGCCAUACGUGGCCCGGGUCCUCCCCUGCUGGUUUUCAGCCUCACACACCCGCAGCGGGGGUAACAGGCCCACCCAGGCUGCGGUGGCUCCUGCUGUGAGCUCCGGAAUUCUGGGCGAAGUCCUGAGCCCAGCGAGGCCGACACAGGGUCACUGCAGAUGCAGUUGUACAAUGAGGUUGCACUGGUGAAGGCCGUGGCCCAGCCUUACAGGAAGGGGCAUCUGGCACAGCCGUGCACCCAGGGAGAAGAUGGCCCCAUGCAGCCAGGGCAGAGAUGGGCCAGUGUGUGCCCCAGGGACCAGCGCUGGGAGAGGCGGGGGCAGUGGCGUCUCCUCACAGCUGCAGAAGGGACCGGAGACACCGUGGUGAGGCUCCUGGCUCCCGACCACGAGACAGUGCCAGCCUCCUGCAGGAGCCUCGAUCGGCGGGCUCGGGACUGCACUGGGCAGCUGUGCGCAGGCCCAGCAGUGGAUGUGGGUCUCCACCACCCUUCUCCAGCCCAGUGACCUCCUCAAGGGAUGGGGAGUGACGACCCUCCCCACAGCUGUGCGCUAACGCAAAGCCACCUGGCCCGCCGCAGCUGGCAGGAGUUUACACUGGCUCGCGUCCCCGGGUGGCCGUGCCAUGACGUGCCGCUGUGAGAACGGAGUGGGGAGACCUGGGCAAGAAGCUCAGAGGAGACUCGUGAGUCUCAGGCCAGAGGCUGUCCUGCACCCCUCCGUCCCCACUUGGAAGGACUCACCAGAGGCCACUCCAAUAACAGCAGGUCCCCCAGGACCCUGCUGAACCCCCAGGAUGGAAAGGAAGGCAAGGGGCCAGCAGCCUUGCCCCACACAAACAUGAAAACCACACACAUGUACACAGCACAUACAGACACACAUAUUUACCCACCUCAUAACCAUGCACACCACACACAUGUGCAUAGUACAUUCACCCACAUACACACAUGCAUGUACCUACCACAUGAGAUGCACCAUACGUGUCACACGUUCACAUUGCUGUGUGUCUGCUUGCACAUGCAUGCAUGUGCACACACACACAUCACACAUGCAGAUAGACACAGGCACACACAUGUGCACACUUGUAAUAAGCUGUGCAUCCCUUCCCGGCAGCACAUGUCUGGGGAAGGCACCAUUGGACAACUUAGUCACAGUGUGAACAUCCCAGAGCACGCGUGCACAGACGCAGGCAGCUGGAGGUCAUAAGGUGAGGCGACCAUGUGGGCCCUCUGUCGUGUGUGGCCCAUCACUGACUGGAACAUCUGUGUUCAUCACAUGAUGAAACAUGCACAUGUACAGGCGUGUACACACCACACACAUGUGUGUACUCAUACUCAUUACAGUGCUAAACGCACACAUGUACACAUGCACAGACUCAUGCACUCACAGUGCUGCGUGUAUACACAUACACACAGACAUACAUUCACAUACAUGCACGCACAGUGCUACCUAUACAUGCACACACAGAAUGCUAUGUCCACAUGUGCAGGCACACAAACACAAACGCACACAUAGCCAGAAGCAACGACCUGCCCGGACCCAUCUGUGUCCUGAGUCACAUGACCCCCUGGGUCUCUGGGCUCACCCUGGUGCCUUUUGCUGGACACCAGCCUCACCCUCCCUGGCAGGGCUGCUGUUUGGUGACACUUAGGCUGCUUCAUCCUGUGGGCCCCCUUGGCAGUUCCUCCAUUUCCCACUGACCACGAGCGCUCUGGCAGGGACAGGGCUGCAGUGGGACAGGACAGGCGGAGACUGGGCCGCUCUGUGGCCCAGCUUCCUGGCUGUGCACAACCUGCCUCCAAGCUGCCCCUGUGUCUGUGCUGCUGCUCACGUCCCCCAGGGGCCGCAGCACAGCCCUGUGUCCUAGAGUCGUUCCCGCUGCGCGUGUCUGUGGAUUUCCCUCUUCUUCACAGCCAUCUACUCCAGCAAGCCCUCACCCUACAGGGGGCUGCUCUAGGGAGCCCGUUCCCAAGGCCCAUCUGAGGUGCUGUGAAGCAGGACUCCAGCAAUGAGCUUGGUUCCCCUCCAACCCGUCGUCUGUAAAAUGGCAGCAGAGCAUUGUGCCUGUGAGGACGAGACCUGCUGGAAGCAGCCACCCGCAGUGCUCUGCAAGGACGAAGACAUGAAAAUGCCUGGAAAGCCAGCGAGACCCUCAAGCCAGUGCCCCCGAGAGCCCUGAGCCCCAGCUGCCUUUCCCCAUGGGGCUCUCGGGUUCUGCUGCCGUCCUGGGACGUCAGCAUGGGGAAAGUGUGGUGGAGACUCAGGGCUCAGGCGAUGGCACUGUCAGGAGCUGACCCUCCCUCUGCACGGUCCUGCUCUCAGGAGCCUCAGACAUAACAUCCCACCCAGCUGGCCUCUGCCGAGCUGAGCCGGAGGAGCUGAUGGCCCAGCAUGGAGGGUGACAUUUUGAGCCGCCCCCGAUGGCCGCCCCCAGGACUGUCUCCCCACUUGUCUUACCUUUCUGCAUUGCUCCUCAUCCUCCUGAGAGCCCAGCUCAUGCCCGUAUUGCUCCCAGGUCUGGCAUCUGCAACCUCGACCUUCAGGCUGGUGGUGCCUCCUCCGGGGACAGUGCCUGCCCUGCUGACCUCUCCGAGACUCUCUGGACUCCGGACACUCACAUGCCGAGGACCUGUCCUCCGGGAACAGUGGGGCCCAGGGGCAAACGUGUCUGAAACAGCACUUCGCCUUGUGAGCCUGCUCUCUGGCGUCCCACAGGCUAGGGCUGAUGACGAGCCCCCCAGACUAUGGCACGACAGGGAGGUUGGGACCCUCAGGAGCUGGAGUCUGGUGGGAGGAAGAAGGUGAAUGACAGGGACACUGGACCUUGGCCACUGGUCCCACGGGGACAUCCCUGUCAUCCACGGCCCUGUGAGGGACUCUGCCCAGCCUGAAGCAGAGCGCCACUGGGAGCCCUGCCCUUAGGUUGUCAUCACAGGUAUGUGGUUAUGGGGACACAGAGAUCACAUGCACAGCCUCGGUCACAACGGUCACCACACCAGAGUCCAGCCAGGGUGGGGAGUGGGCAGUGGAGCCCAAGCCAGGCACAGUACAGAGGCGCAGCACGGCCACCCUCUGGUCAUAGGGACAACAGGCUCGGCUGAACCCAGUCCGGGACCCAUGGGGACCGUCUGAGCAAAGCUAAACAUCUACCGCCUGCCUCGGUGUCUGUGUGGGGCUGCUUCUCUAGGUGACAGCCCAAAGACUCAACAGUGAAGCUGUGAUUUCAUGUUUGUAGCAGCUGAGGUGGGAGGUGCCACAUCUGCCAAUGGUCCCUCUAUGCUGCAGCCUGGAGGGCAACAGGAGGGCAAUGCGACCCAGUCCCCGUCCAGCUGCCUCUUCCUGUGGUGUCCCCAGCUCUCUGGUCCCCAUACCUGAGGACUCAGAGCCCAUGGCGCCUCAGAGGCAGACGGCACAUUCUGGGAGCAAUUUCCUGUGAUAAAGUUGUUUAAAAAAUUGUAUGUCGUAUUGAAAUUAGAUAACUGCUA